This is an unclassified non-coding RNA of Cavia porcellus (domestic guinea pig), 98 nucleotides long. It matches the Rfam family "Y RNA". From Rfam's summary of the family: Y RNAs are components of the Ro ribonucleoprotein particle (Ro RNP), in association with Ro60 and La proteins. The Y RNAs and Ro60 and La proteins are well conserved, but the function of the Ro RNP is not known. In humans the RNA component can be one of four small RNAs -- hY1, hY3, hY4 and hY5. NCBI's taxonomy places the organism in Eukaryota, Metazoa, Chordata, Mammalia, Rodentia, Caviidae. The record is from Ensembl.
GGCUGGUCCGAUGGCAGUGGGUUAUCAGAACUUACUAACAUUAGUGUCACUAAAGUUGGUAUACCACCCCCCCCCACUGUUAAAUUUGACUGGCAAAA